This 771-nucleotide ribosomal RNA is filed under the name uncultured bacterium. RNAcentral describes it as "bacterial SSU rRNA". It matches the Rfam family "Bacterial small subunit ribosomal RNA", at positions 8 to 770 of the family's 1533-position model. The record is from RNAcentral.
AGGGUUUGAUCCUGGCUCAGAUUGAACGCUGGCGGAAUGCUUUACACAUGCAAGUCGAACGGCAGCAUAGAGAGCUUGCUCUCUGAUGGCGAGUGGCGAACGGGUGAGUAAUAUAUCGGAACGUGCCUAGUAAUGGGGAACAACUAGCUGAAAGGUUAGCUAAUACCGCAUACGACCUACGGGUGAAAGCAGGGGAUCUUCGGACCUUGCGUUAUUAGAGCGGCCGAUAUCUGAUUAGCUUGUUGGUGGGGUAAUGGCCUACCAAGGCGACGAUCAGUAGCUGGUCUGAGAGGACGAUCAGCCACACUGGAACUGAGACACGGUCCAGACUCCUACGGGAGGCAGCAGUGGGGAAUUUUGCACAAUGGGGGAAACCCUGAUGCAGCCAUUCCGCGUGAGUGAAGAAGGCCUUCGGGUUGUAAAGCUCUUUCGCAAGAGAAGAAAACUUGCAAUCUAAUAUAUUGUAAGCAUGACGGUAUCUUGAUAAGAAGCACCGGCUAACUACGUGCCAGCAGCCGCGGUAAUACGUAGGGUGCAAGCGUUAAUCGGAAUUACUGGGCGUAAAGCGUGCGCAGGCAGUUUUAUAAGUCAGAUGUGAAAUCCCCGAGCUCAACUUGGGAACUGCGUUUGAAACUGUAAGACUAGAGUGUGUCAGAGGGGGGUAGAAUUCCACGUGUAGCAGUGAAAUGCGUAGAGAUGUGGAGGAAUACCAAUGGCGAAGGCAGCCCCCUGGGAUAACACUGACGCUCAUGCACGAAAGCGUGGGGAGCA